Molecule: ribosomal RNA, 2921 nt
Filed under: Salmonella enterica
Lineage: Bacteria; Pseudomonadati; Pseudomonadota; Gammaproteobacteria; Enterobacterales; Enterobacteriaceae
Description: 23S ribosomal RNA
Rfam family: Bacterial large subunit ribosomal RNA
Source: RNAcentral
GGGUUGUGAGGUUAAGCGACUAAGCGUACACGGUGGAUGCCCCUGGCAGUCAGAGGCGAUGAAGGGCGUGCUAAUCUGCGAUAAGCGCCGGUAAGGUGAUAUGAACCGUUAUAACCGGCGAUACCCGAAUGGGGAAACCCAGUGUGAUUCGUCACACUAUCAUUAACUGAAUCCAUAGGUUAAUGAGGCGAACCGGGGGAACUGAAACAUCUAAGUACCCCGAGGAAAAGAAAUCAACCGAGAUUCCCCCAGUAGCGGCGAGCGAACGGGGAGGAGCCCAGAGCCUGAAUCAGCAUGUGUGUUAGUGGAAGCGUCUGGAAAGGCGCGCGAUACAGGGUGACAGCCCCGUACACAAAAGCGCAUGUGCUGUGAGCUCGAUGAGUAGGGCGGGACACGUGGUAUCCUGUCUGAAUAUGGGGGGACCAUCCUCCAAGGCUAAAUACUCCUGACUGACCGAUAGUGAACCAGUACCGUGAGGGAAAGGCGAAAAGAACCCCGGCGAGGGGAGUGAAAAAGAACCUGAAACCGUGUACGUACAAGCAGUGGGAGCACCCUUUGGGUGUGACUGCGUACCUUUUGUAUAAUGGGUCAGCGACUUAUAUUCUGUAGCAAGGUUAACCGAAUAGGGAGCCGGAGGGAAACCGAGUCUUAAUUGGGCGUUAAGUUGCAGGGUAUAGACCCGAAACCCGGUGAUCUAGCCAUGGGCAGGUUGAAGGUUGGGUAACACUAACUGGAGGACCGAACCGACUAAUGUUGAAAAAUUAGCGGAUGACCUGUGGCUGGGGGUGAAAGGCCAAUCAAACCGGGAGAUAGCUGGUUCUCCCCGAAAGCUAUUUAGGUAGCGCCUCGUGAAUUCAUCUCCGGGGUAGAGCACUGUUUCGGCUAGGGGGCCAUCCCGGCUUACCAACCCGAUGCAAACUGCGAAUACCGGAGAAUGUUAUCACGGGAGACACACGGCGGGUGCUAACGUCCGUCGUGAAGAGGGAAACAACCCAGACCGCCAGCUAAGGUCCCAAAGUCAUGGUUAAGUGGGAAACGAUGUGGGAAGGCCCAGACAGCCAGGAUGUUGGCUUAGAAGCAGCCAUCAUUUAAAGAAAGCGUAAUAGCUCACUGGUCGAGUCGGCCUGCGCGGAAGAUGUAACGGGGCUAAACCAUGCACCGAAGCUGCGGCAGCGACACUGUGUGUUGUUGGGUAGGGGAGCGUUCUGUAAGCCUGUGAAGGUGUGUCGUGAGGCAUGCUGGAGGUAUCAGAAGUGCGAAUGCUGACAUAAGUAACGAUAAAGCGGGUGAAAAGCCCGCUCGCCGGAAGACCAAGGGUUCCUGUCCAACGUUAAUCGGGGCAGGGUGAGUCGACCCCUAAGGCGAGGCCGAAAGGCGUAGUCGAUGGGAAACGGGUUAAUAUUCCCGUACUUGGUGUUACUGCGAAGGGGGGACGGAGAAGGCUAUGUUGGCCGGGCGACGGUUGUCCCGGUUUAAGCGUGUAGGUGUGUGUUCCAGGUAAAUCCGGUUCACUUUAACACUGAGGCGUGACGACGAGGCACUACGGUGCUGAAGCAACAAAUGCCCUGCUUCCGUGAAAGCCUCUAAGCAUCAGGUAACAUCAAAUCGUACCCCAAACCGACACAGGUGGUCAGGUAGAGAAUACCAAGGCGCUUGAGAGAACUCGGGUGAAGGAACUAGGCAAAAUGGUGCCGUAACUUCGGGAGAAGGCACGCUGACACGUAGGUGAAGUGAUUUACUCAUGGAGCUGAAGUCAGUCGAAGAUACCAGCUGGCUGCAACUGUUUAUUAAAAACACAGCACUGUGCAAACACGAAAGUGGACGUAUACGGUGUGACGCCUGCCCGGUGCCGGAAGGUUAAUUGAUGGGGUCAGCGCAAGCGAAGCUCCUGAUCGAAGCCCCGGUAAACGGCGGCCGUAACUAUAACGGUCCUAAGGUAGCGAAAUUCCUUGUCGGGUAAGUUCCGACCUGCACGAAUGGCGUAAUGAUGGCGGGCUGUCUCCACCCGAGACUCAGUGAAAUUGAACUCGCUGUGAAGAUGCAGUGUACCCGCGGCAAGACGGAAAGACCCCGUGAACCUUUACUAUAGCUUGACACUGAACAUUGAGCCUUGAUGUGUAGGAUAGGUGGGAGGCUUUGAAGUGUGGACGCCAGUCUGCAUGGAGCCGACCUUGAAAUACCACCCUUUAAUGUUUGAUGUUCUAACGUGGACCCGUUACCCGGGUUGCGGACAGUGUCUGGUGGGUAGUUUGACUGGGGCGGUCUCCUCCUAAAGAGUAACGGAGGAGCACGAAGGUUGGCUAAUCUGGUCGGACAUCAGGAGGUUAGUGCAAUGGCAUAAGCCAGCUUGACUGCGAGCGUGACGGCGCGAGCAGGUGCGAAAGCAGGUCAUAGUGAUCCGGUGGUUCUGAAUGGAAGGGCCAUCGCUCAACGGAUAAAAGGUACUCCGGGGAUAACAGGCUGAUACCGCCCAAGAGUUCAUAUCGACGGCGGUGUUUGGCACCUCGAUGUCGGCUCAUCACAUCCUGGGGCUGAAGUAGGUCCCAAGGGUAUGGCUGUUCGCCAUUUAAAGUGGUACGCGAGCUGGGUUUAGAACGUCGUGAGACAGUUCGGUCCCUAUCUGCCGUGGGCGCUGGAGAACUGAGGGGGGCUGCUCCUAGUACGAGAGGACCGGAGUGGACGCAUCACUGGUGUUCGGGUUGUCAUGCCAAUGGCACUGCCCGGUAGCUAAAUGCGGAAGAGAUAAGUGCUGAAAGCAUCUAAGCACGAAACUUGCCCCGAGAUGAGUUCUCCCUGAGACUUAGAGUCUCCUGAAGGAACGUUGAAGACGACGACGUUGAUAGGCCGGGUGUGUAAGCGCAGCGAUGCGUUGAGCUAACCGGUACUAAUGAACCGUGAGGCUUAACCUUACAACGCCGAAG